GACGAACGCUGGCGGCGUGCCUAAUACAUGCAAGUCGAACGCAGUGGGGACGGGUGAGUAACCCGUGGGUAACCUCCCAUCAGAGGGGAUAACACUUGGAAACAGGUGCUAAACCGAUACUGAUGGAUGGACCAGCGGUGCAUUAGCUAGUUGGUGAGGUAACGGCUCCCAAAGGCCACGAUGCAUAGACGACCUGAGCGUGGUAUAGGCCAACUGGGAACUGAGCAAGGGCCCAGCCGCCUACGGUAGGCAGCAGUAGGGAACCGUCGGCAAUGGACGAAAGUCUGACUGAGCAACGCGGAGGAAGUGAAGAAGGUUUUCGGUGCGUAAAAUUCGGUUGUUAGAGAAGCGGUAUCUAACCAGAAAGCCACGGCUAACUACGUGCCAGCAGCCGCGGUAAUAC
RNAcentral lists this ribosomal RNA (403 nucleotides) under uncultured bacterium. RNAcentral's name for it is "partial 16S ribosomal RNA". It matches the Rfam family "Bacterial small subunit ribosomal RNA", at positions 28 to 526 of the family's 1533-position model. The record is from RNAcentral.